RNAcentral lists this long non-coding RNA (268 nucleotides) under Lathyrus oleraceus (garden pea). Its description in RNAcentral is "Pisum sativum (pea) long non-coding RNA (PSAT_LNC008438)". The record is from RNAcentral. Lineage: Eukaryota; Viridiplantae; Streptophyta; Magnoliopsida; Fabales; Fabaceae.
CUUUGCUUUUCUUUUUCUAUUUUUUUCUAUGCUCUAUGGUUUCAAGGGUGAUUUCUUUUUCUUGUUUCUUUUCAUAUUUUUACCCUUUCAUAGAAACUCACUUUUCCAAGUUUCUAAUCAACUUUUCACUUUACUCUCCCCAACUUUAGAUUCCAAAACCAAAUUUAUUCAAUAAUGCUCCCUACUUAGACAUAAGCAAAAGGCAAAAUUUUGCAAACAACUCGGUUUGAGGUUUCAACUGAUACGAAAGAAAUUAGGAUUCAUUUAU